UAGUCAUUCCAAAGUCCGUUGGGUGAUCCCCAUCCAGAAUCUAGAUCCAUGCCAUCCCAGUGGUUGAGACGUGAAUUCCCAUCCAGAUUGGAAAUGGCGGGGUGCUUAAAAAUGCACAGAGUUGAAGCUCUGAAAUGAGAAGUUGUCUUCAUCACACAGGCGCAGACGCUACAGAAAUCCUAGCCCACUGCAAAGAUCUCUCUUCCUCACUGCAACUACAAUCUCAAUUGUUUACUGUAACCUAGCCAAGGAGUUUCUCUCUCUAAAAGAACAUAAUCUCUCUUUGAAACUCAUUGUGUUCCCGCCCCAUAAUCGUACUCUCUUCCUGCCAAGAACCAGGCGAUAUGGACUUUGCAUCGAUGCCCUUCUCCAAAUUGUGCAAACCUAACAACAAGACAAUCUGCAACUCCAUGAUCAGAGGGUUUGCUUAACAUAAAAUCGGGCAAAAGGCCUUCAUCUUUUAUACCCUUCUAGAAACUGGUUUUUCUUCCAAUAACUUCACAUUCACCAUUUUAUUGGAGUGCAAAUCUAUUGCUUCUUUUUUUCUCUACGAUUCAAAUUUUAGGCUUUCAUUCUAAAUUUGAAAUCAUGCUUUUCUCUAUGUAUUUCAAGUGUUUUUUUUAUCUAAGUGAGCUUGUAUAUAGUUAUAUGUCUAAGGCUUUGUGCAUGCUUUAUCUGAUUCCUUGGGUUUUAUUUCUGUGCCGAUUGAUUUCUCAGUUUCGUUUCUGAUGCCUUUAAUUUUAUCUGUGAUCUCUCCCUUUAUCUUAACUCUUUCUCCAUUAAAUUUGUUAUUGGAAUUGAUUGUGUAAUAUGGAAUAGGGCUAGCAUUUCGAUGAUGAUGCAAUUUGCAAUUUGACUUCUGUUAAUUUUUGGGAUGGCUCUUAAACUUGAACUCAAAAGUAUAGAGUUUAUUUGGUGUUGGGUUUGAGUUCAUUUGGAUGAAUUUUCAUCCGCAAAAUUGGCGAAAUAUAGGGAAUACCUUGAAUUAUUGUGAUUUGAUUUGGGGGCUUUUGAACUUGAAGAGUUUUCGUGUGAGUAUUUUUCACAGAAAUGGAUAUUUUAUUUAAAAUGAAUUGUUUUCAAAUACUAUUUCAGUUUAAUAACAUUCCAUUUAUGCUUUAUUUUAAUAUGAAUGUCUGCAUUUUUUUUAGUUCUUGGAUAAUAAAACAUGUCUAUAGUUUUUUUUUUUUCUUUUCACAGAAAUGGAUAUUUUAUUUAAAAUGAAUUGCUUUCAAAUACUAUUUCAGUUUAAUAACAUUCCAUUUAUGCUUUAUUUUAAUAUGAAUGUCUGCAUUUUUUUUAGUUCUUGGAUAAUAAAACAUGUCUGUAGUUUUUUUUUUUUCUCCCUGUGAUAAAAGGCAACCAUAUCUAAGGUAGAUUUGUGUUGCAUAUGAAAUCAUUAUAAUCAUGCAUGCAUGUUAUGCAUGUGCAUGGCUUAAUUCUUAUCUUUGAUGAUCAUAUAUGGACUAACAGGCUUGUUUCCCAUGCAAAAUAUAGGCAAUUUACAGUUGCAUGCAUUUUCUUGUAGUCUUUGAGAAGUGUCCAAAACUAUUUGUUAGAGUAGACCUGAAUCAGGCUGGAACAGCCAACCGCUUCAACGGAACAGUACUCAAAGUAGGGGCAGGAGAUGGUGUGGGUGGCAGGAACCGGAGCGGAGAUAGGCCCAAGAUAUACUGGAUGGCCUGUUCAUGGGAGUAGAUAUUUGCCAUGACUGACAAAAUGAAGGAAAAUGUCGAACGUGAGAGGAAGGAGAGGAUGGUAGUGUUGUUUGCCGCUUACACUGCAACUUUAUGUAUAGUAACUGCAGCUCUGGCUGCUUGUACUCAUAAAAUGAAGGGUUGAAAACAUAAAAGGUUAUUAGGUACCAGUUACCACCUCAAUGAGUUACCAAGUGAAAGAGGAUGAUGUAUCAGAGACAUCUGUGCAGUCGUUUGCGUCUAGGAGGAAUACAGUUACGAGGCCAAAGAAGAAGAGGUCAAUAUCCGACGCAAUUGAUGCUUUGGCAAAGGCUGCGUGUUAUCUGUCAGAGGCUAUUCAAAACCUCUAUCAAAAUCCAUACACAACUAGUGUCAGCAAGGCCAUAUCUAAGAUCAAGGGCCUCAUACCCCGUAGCUAGGACGCUUGCAUCGAUGGAAAUUGUUGCAGAUGUAAAUGUCUCCCAGCUGUUCUUGAAUCUGAGUCUGAAAGAUAGAGCAGAAUAUGUUUUCGAUGUGUAUGCUGCGAAAGAUUGAAUGACUUGCCUCUCUCUUUCUCUCUCAUGUUAUAAACAGAUCAACAUCUUCAUUGAUGCAUACUCCUCCCCCUCUCUCUCA
Non-coding RNA from Amborella trichopoda, 2312 nucleotides. The record is from RefSeq and is a predicted model, not a curated record. NCBI's taxonomy places the organism in Eukaryota, Viridiplantae, Streptophyta, Magnoliopsida, Amborellales, Amborellaceae.